CGCUUCUCCCGCAGUAUGUCAGCCGCUUCUCCCUCUCGCCCAGCGCGGACGGCCUCCUAGCCGCCGCAGCCGUCUCCUUCUCUUCCUCUUCCUCUCCCCUCCGCCCGCCGCACGCCCCCGAGCUCCCCAAGAUCCGCGCCACUGCGCCGCCUCCUCCUCUCCUCCACUUCUCUCCUCCUCUGCCCCCCGCGCAUGGUCGUCGUCGCUCGUCUCUUCCUCUCCCGCGUCUGUCCCGGCAGCGGCGACGACUUGCAGGCAAAAGGCGACGGUGGCGACGCUCAGUUCGAUGCAGCACCAUGGACCAGUUCUUGUAGGAGAGAGAGGAUGAGAGGGCGAGAGAGAAGGAACGAGAGAAGGGAGAAAGAGAGAGGAAAGAGGAGAUGGAGGUGCGCCGGCUGAUGGGAGAGGGUCACACGCCGGCGUCGGCCUAUGCCGGCGAGGUCGGGCGAGAUCUGGCGGUUGUCGGCGGCUCGAUCCGCUCCUGGAUCGGGAGCUGCGAGGAGGCCCUGUAGGAGAGAGAGGAUGAGAUGGAGAGAGAGAGAAGGAAGGAGAGGAGGGAGAAGGAGAGAGGAAAGAGGUGAUGCAGGUGCGUGGGCUAAUGGGAGAAGGUCUCACGCCGGCGUCGGCCUACGUCUGCGAGGUUGGGCGAGAUCUGGCGGUUGGCGGUGGCUCGAUCCGCUCCUCCAUCGGGAGCUGCGAGGAGGCUGGGGCUCUUGGGCGUGCCAUGCGCUGGAAGGUGGAGGAGGCUGGUUUGGUGGUUGCUCGGGUUUGGAGCAGCAAGGAUAUGGGGCUGCACUUUCUUGGAGCAGCAUGCAAUGGAGCCAAGGAUUAAAUGUAUUUGCUUGCAGUACUUUCAUUCUCUGAAAAGAAUGGCGAAUCCAAGAUUUAGCUCAAAAUUAUUGCAUUUUGUUUCAAAAUAGGAUGAUCUUUCCUUGCUGAAUAGACAACAUAUAGGUUAAGAACGUGUAUGAUGCUGAUUUUGGUGGUUUGGACAUGGAUUUGAGGGUGGAGAAUGGCCACAUGAAAGAGGCAUUCAGGACUGUAAGUAUGAAUUAAAUACAUACUACAUAUCUGAUGAAAUGCAGACACGAGGUGUUCUCGUUAUACUUUCGGUUCCUCAAUCUUUGUUUUCUUUUGAUGUUGCAUCAUUUUUUUAUUGCAAGCAUUGAUAUAUGCGCUCAUGCUAGGCAAUAUAAGGUAUUGUCCCGCCAUUUAUUUAUUGUAGGCAUUGAAAAAUAAAAGAAAUAAGAGAACACAACAUGUGUUUAAACGUACGUUCUUCUCGGUCCUUCUGUGGUUUUAUUUGUCGCCUAGGUUGCUGCUUACUAUGAAAAUUAUGUUAACUCACCUGUUUUAUUUCCUUUCAUCAGCAUCUAUUUUGCUGCUUACAUUUUCUGCCUUUUUUCUGCAACGUCCAGGAUCUCCUAGGUUGGUGGAUCUGCGACGUUCCGGUUCCUGCUGUUGGUCAGCCGUUUCUUUGGUCGAGAGAUUAAAGCAGAUGGGUGCACUUGUUGCCGGCGGUCUCGUCCCACUGGUAGGGUUCCAGCAAGAUGCUCAAGAAUUUUCUCAUGAAAGUGGAUGAAUAACGUCAUGGCCAGGAUCUUCAAAGGACCAAUGUUGCAUAGCCUUUACCCACUCUGCACUGCCGUAACAUUUCAAGUAGCGACUACUCCUGGUACAUCUUGUGUUGAUCACGAGCAACACCAAGAGAGAUGUAUGGACUAUUUGCAUGCAGAUUACCUCCAGGUGAUUGAUUAUGAUGUGUAUGGUCUUUUCCAGCCAUGGCAGAUGGUAUAGUACAUACUGAUGAGAGGAUAGAUCAUUUAUGAUGAUGUACUAUUUUAGAUGGUGAUACUAAAGUGUUAUUCUAAGCAAUUAGGUCUCUUAUGUAGUCUUAUUAUCGUAUUUUUCAAGUUUGAGAGCAUGUUAUAAUAUCUUGGCUAUUUUGACACUGCCAUGCUUCACAUUGCGAUGUGUUUACUAUCGCAGUUUGGAAAUAUUACUGAUAGAUGCUUGGCACACUGGCAAGUAAAAUUGUUUUGAGGCCUGAGCCAUGUAAUGACGAUAUAGCCUUCUUUAUAGAUCCAAUAUACAUGUA
Triticum aestivum (bread wheat) is the source of this 2098-nucleotide RNA transcript. RefSeq lists it as uncharacterized. Lineage: Eukaryota; Viridiplantae; Streptophyta; Magnoliopsida; Poales; Poaceae. The record is from RefSeq and is a predicted model, not a curated record. The transcript has 4 exons.